UUUUUUUUUUUUUAAGAAAAAUUUUAAAUACCAUCCAUGUAAAUUUUUUAUUUUAGUACUUUAUGAUUUAAAGUGUAUCAAUUUAGUACUCCGUAAUUUUAUUUUAUUUUUUUAUUAUCUUCUCUAUUAAUUUUUUUUGUUAAAUCAGUGACAAAGUUAAAAUUAAAAUGUACUAAAGUGAAUAUUCGAUAAAUCUAGGUGGAUAUAUGAAGUUUUUUGUAUAUAACUUAACGAAAUGUUAACGGAGGAGCUGACGAAAGAAGAAAAAUAAAACUAUGGAGUACUAAAUUGAUACACCUUAAAGCACAGGGCACUAAAAUGAGAAUGUGCAAAAUCACAGGAGUGGUGUUUGAAAUUUACUCUUUUUUUAAAGAAAAAUAUUGUGUCACGAUCACAAUUUAAUUUGGUAAAUAUGAAUAUAUAACUGAGUUAAAUUAUCAUUUACUUUGAAUUAAUUAUUUAAUUAUUUAAAAUUUUAAUUUUCUAUCUAACUUUUAAUUUAUUUGAUUUGAAUUAUUCAAUGAUACUCUGACUUUAAAAUUUAAGCUAAUUAAUACUUUUAUAGUUUUAUAGUUGUGAGAACCGUACAAAGUAUACUAAUUAAAUCUGUUAAAAAUAAAUAAUAAAUUUAUACUUUGAAGUCAAAAAGGUAUCUACAUAUUCAAAUCAAAUAAAUUGAAUGGCUGAGUAGUAAAAUUAAAAUUUUGAAAAAUUCGAUAGUCAAUUCAAAACAAUCUAUGAUCCUUUUAUUUAUUGCUCGAUUGGAGUAGGUGAUGCUAGUGACUUGUGCAAAAUAGGAAAUGCUUUAGAUCACUCAAAAGAGUAUUCUACUCUUUUGGUACUUCGUAUUACAUGUAUAAAUCAAUCAAUAGAAUCUUCAAAAAACUUGAUUGAUCAGUACUUCUCCUACCAAAAUUGGUGCUUUAUUAAUACGAGUCCAGUUAUUAUACUCUUGUAAGUGUACAUCCUUUUGUACUCAUAAAUUUUCGGUCGUUAGAUCUACCUCUUUGAUUAUUUCUAUCCGUUAGAUUAUAGUAUUUAACCAGCCACCCACUCAACUCUAGGAAAGUACUAUCAUCCUAAUCGCACAUCCUUUCAUCCAACGGCAGAAAACUUAAUUAUGAGUACAAAUGAGUUAAUACUCAUAAGAGUAUAUAUAGUAGCCCUAGCCUUAUUAAUACAUAUUUUUUUUCGAAUUUGGGACCUCAGAUGCCAACCAUCAAACUCUUAACCAACUACGCUAGAUACAAUCGAUCGCCAUAUAUUAUUUUAAGUACUACUACUAUGGCUUUUCUAUAAUACUAUUCUUUUAAGCUUUUGAUGAAUCGAGAAAUACGAUAUGAAAAAAAAAAAUAGUUGAUUUAAGUAAAGAAAAUCUAAGACGUUAUAUAUGAAUUUACCGAUAUAACAACGGUUCUAAAAAGAAUCAUUUUAUGAAUUAUAAACUGUAUAAGAACCAUGAAUUAUAAACUGUUUCAGGAAUAUUGGAAAAUUUUGGCUAUGGACAAUUAAGAGACAAUGUAGAUCUAAUGCCAAAUUUGAUGUUGACAGGCCUAUUGAGUCCAAAUUUUAAGUACAAAACUACGCAUUCUUAUACUUCUAUAUGUCUUUUUCCUUU
This 1618-nucleotide long non-coding RNA is filed under the name Ananas comosus (pineapple). Its description in RNAcentral is "long non-coding RNA (ACOM_LNC020604)". Lineage: Eukaryota; Viridiplantae; Streptophyta; Magnoliopsida; Poales; Bromeliaceae. The record is from RNAcentral.